CCUACGGGAGGCAGCAGUGAGGAAUAUUGGUCAAUGGCCGGAAGGCUGAACCAGCCAAGCCGCGUGAAGGACGAAGGUGCCAAGCAUUGUAAACUUCUUUUGUCAAGGGACAAAAUCAGGCUCGAGAGCAUGACCGAGGGUACUUGAAGAAAAAGCAUCGGCUAACGCCGUGCCAGCAGCCGCGGUACUACGGUGGAUGCGAGCGUUAUCCGGAUUUAUUGGGGUAAAAGGGUGCGUAGGCGGACUGUAAAGUCAGCGGUAAAAUUUCGGGGCACAACCCCGUCGUGCCGUUGAAACUGGCGAUCUUGAGUGAGCGAGAAGUAUGCGGAAUUCGAGGUGUAGCAGUGAAAU
RNAcentral lists this ribosomal RNA (351 nucleotides) under uncultured bacterium. RNAcentral's name for it is "partial 16S ribosomal RNA". It matches the Rfam family "Bacterial small subunit ribosomal RNA", at positions 338 to 687 of the family's 1533-position model. The record is from RNAcentral.